Molecule: ribosomal RNA, 40 nt
Filed under: Olea europaea subsp. europaea
Lineage: Eukaryota; Viridiplantae; Streptophyta; Magnoliopsida; Lamiales; Oleaceae
Description: SSU_rRNA_archaea
Source: RNAcentral
GCUCGUGCCGUAAGGUGUUGGGUUAAGUCCCGCAACGAGC